GUUUCCUUCCUUCCUUGCUCGAGAGAUUUCUCCCUCCCGUUGUCGCCUGUCACCCUCGGCGAGUGCACUUCCAAAGACGCUGCACAUUGAUGGAAUCCUUGUCCUUUUCCUGCUUGUCUUGCUCAUCAAGACCGAAAUAAAGAUAAAAGCAGCAAAGUGGAUGAUCUCAUAGCACAGUACAGAACAGGGAGAAAGAGCGAGGGAGUGGCGCAUGUGGAGUGAUUUGCACGUUUGUUUUCUUAUGCUAAGUUGGGGAGGGGGAGCGUUAGAGCGUUGUAUGAUUCCGGUAUGGUUUGGUCAUGAAGCAGAAAGCAUGACGCGCAGUAGUGAUACAUGGGGCCGAAGACGAUGAUGUGUGAGGUGACCUGCUGUAUUUUUGGACCGAUUGGAGUUGGCUUUACUCGUAAUGGGACAUUUGAGAGUUCGGUGUAGAGGUAUUUGUCGUUCUGGAUGGCUUAGUGUCGAUGGUUUUGGGAUGAGUUGUAUCUCCGGGGGAAUACUGAUUCGUUAUGCUGUCGCCAACAAUGUUGUAAGCGUGCUUGUUAGGAUUUUGAAAUUCCGUACUACCUGUGUGUGGGAAGAGAGCAGUAAUCACCGGUAUGGAAUUUCAACUUUCUAUUUGCACCUUUCGUUUAUGAUUGCGUUACUGGAUCACACUCUCCAUUCUCCGCUGGUCACCUCCCACUCGAUGAUUAUGUAGAGUUUGUCCAUUCUUUGGAAAUUUUGAAGUCAUUCUGCAAUGUGGAGAGGAGCAGAGCAAUGAAUGGACAAACGUGCUCAUCAAGUUACUACAGGCAACGCUCUUAUGAUGGAAGACUCAUCUACAUCCCCUAGAAAAGUUCAAACUGGUUCAAUUGAUGAAGGAAAAGUUUAAACCAAGAACCAACCCUUUUUGGGAAAGAAGACAGAAAUGGUUUGGAGUUAUCCUCACGUUUGAAGUCAGCAUUGAAAUGAGGGCCCGGUGAAGAGAACAAGACCUGGCAAGGGUUUGCAACAAUAUCGACUGUGGAUCCGUGCAGGGAACUAGAAGCUACUUUAGAUCCUCCAAUCCAAUGGAAGGUCGUCAUGAACCUCAGGGACAUUUGGACGCUAGCAUCAUGAUGUCGUACAAUUGGAAGAUUCGCUUUGCUGCUGCCUAAUUUUCCUGCUAGACAAUGAAAGAUAUCUCAAAGAAUCCUCUUUUGAACCAGGUGAGAGUGUGUGGCGUCAACCUGUUCUCCCUGCAUUCAAUGUACACAACUAAAGGUGUUUGUGCAAAAGCAGGGUUAUUGUGACCCGAAUAACCUGAGACUAUAACAGAAAUGUAAGUUCGUGGUCAGUCUGUAUGGCAAUUAGCAGCGAAAGCCCGCUCCUACUUUCGAUGAGGCCCCCAGUCACCCUGUACUCAGAACAUAUACAUAUCCCAGUCUUUAAUGUGUUCCUGGUGCUUUUCCUUGCAAGUGGAGUUGGGAUUCGAAACCUAGUUUCUGGUUGCAUCGCGAACAAGGCAGGCAUUGAGAGUUUCAGUCUUCUAACACAGGUUUGUCAACUUCGUUGUCAGCAUGUAGAACACAUAGUAUAACCUUUCUAAUUUUCACUUGUAGUAGAAACUAUCUAGACACAAUAAAAGCUUAUUGGCUCAGAAUGUGAAAUAUACGUACUCACGUGUAAGCUUUUCUAGUCCAUCUCGUAACAGUCUUACAAUUCAAUGAUUCUUUUGUGGGAUUGGUACACUACCAUUUGACGAUAGGAGGUAUCAAGCGGUGUGAAAUCCAGAAUCCAGUUUGACUGGACCGCCUGUGAUUGUGCAUUGCAUCGUGCAAUGUUGGCUGUAAGCAAAAAAUUUAAUGGCUGCUACUAACCAUGGUUCUUUUAA
Physcomitrium patens is the source of this 1855-nucleotide non-coding RNA. Lineage: Eukaryota; Viridiplantae; Streptophyta; Bryopsida; Funariales; Funariaceae. The record is from RefSeq and is a predicted model, not a curated record.